Long non-coding RNA from Ruditapes philippinarum (Manila clam), 295 nucleotides. RefSeq lists it as uncharacterized. NCBI's taxonomy places the organism in Eukaryota, Metazoa, Mollusca, Bivalvia, Venerida, Veneridae. The transcript is spliced from 4 exons. The record is from RefSeq and is a predicted model, not a curated record.
AGCGGCACUGAUGUAUGCACGGACUUACUAGAAAUGCAAAGUGGUUCUCAUAUGAACGUUAACACCCCACACGGUCAAGGUUCAAGUGCAAGGGAUACCCAUGAGUAUACAGAGUUAAGACCGAAUGUCAUGGAUAUUAAAGAGCAUGCUUAUAAAACGCUAGAACAAAGACCAACGCCUAACCAAGAACCAAAAGUUAACGAAAACCUUAAGAUAUGUUAAUUAAAUCUUAUUAUUUUAUUGAUUAUCUUAUCCGCUAUUGUUAUGUUGAACAUUUUCAAACUAAUUGGAUAUU